GAUAGUGAACCAGUACCGUGAGGGAAAGGCGAAAAGAACCCCGGCGAGGGGAGUGAAAAAGAACCUGAAACCGUGUACGUACAAGCAGUGGGAGCACCUUCGGGUGUGACUGCGUACCUUUUGUAUAAUGGGUCAGCGACUUAUAUUCUGUAGCAAGGUUAACCGUAUAGGGGAGCCGAAGGGAAACCGAGUCUUAACUG
Molecule: ribosomal RNA, 200 nt
Filed under: Enterobacter hormaechei subsp. xiangfangensis
Lineage: Bacteria; Pseudomonadati; Pseudomonadota; Gammaproteobacteria; Enterobacterales; Enterobacteriaceae
Description: partial 23S ribosomal RNA
Rfam family: Bacterial large subunit ribosomal RNA
Source: RNAcentral